GGCCGGAUAGCUCAGUCGGUAGAGCAGAGGAUUGAAAAUCCUCGUGUCGGCGGUUCGAUUCCGUCUCCGGCCACCA
This 76-nucleotide transfer RNA is filed under the name Oceanospirillum multiglobuliferum. RNAcentral's name for it is "tRNA_Phe_GAA". It matches the Rfam family "tRNA". From Rfam's summary of the family: Transfer RNA (tRNA) molecules are approximately 80 nucleotides in length. The record is from RNAcentral. Lineage: Bacteria; Pseudomonadati; Pseudomonadota; Gammaproteobacteria; Oceanospirillales; Oceanospirillaceae.